Molecule: ribosomal RNA, 485 nt
Filed under: Salinivibrio sp. V1-105
Lineage: Bacteria; Pseudomonadati; Pseudomonadota; Gammaproteobacteria; Vibrionales; Vibrionaceae
Description: bacterial SSU rRNA
Rfam family: Bacterial small subunit ribosomal RNA
Source: RNAcentral
CACAUUGCAAGUUGAGCGGAAACGGCAGUAUUGAAGCUUCGGUGGAUUUACUGGACGUCGAGCGGCGGACCGGGUGAGUAACGGCUGGGAACCUGCCCUGACGAGGGGGAUAUCCGUUGGAAACGACGGCUAAUACCGCAUAAUGUCUUGAUUCGUUAGAGUCAGGACCAAAGGUGGCCUCUACAUGUAAGCUAUCGCGUUGGGAUGGGCCCAGUUAGGAUUAGCUAGUUGGUAAGGUAAUGGCUUACCAAGGCAACGAUCCUUAGCUGGUUUGAGAGGAUGAUGGGCCACACUGGGACUGAGACACGGCCCAGACUCCUACGGGAGGCAGCAGUGGGGAAUAUUGCACAAUGGGGGAGACCCUGAUGCAGCCAUGCCGCGUGUGUGAAGAAGGCCUUCGGGUUGUAAAGCACUUUCAGCCUUGAGGAAGGAAGUGUACUUAAUACGUGCACGGCUGACGGUAGCUGCAGAAGAACCACCGCUAA